AACCAAUUCAUCUUCCGAAAAAGUUAAAUUCAACCUAAAGGAAUUUCAUAAGCUUUCAAACGAAUUUUAAACCAGGAAUCAAAGAUGCCACCUUACACCAACAGAAUUCCAGACAUAAAGGACAGUCCUAGAUUUAAGGACACCCAGCGCUAGCGUGGCGCAGCAGCAACUCCCUGCCUCCACCCAGCACGCCCAGAAUGUUUUAUCCAGACCUCUUCAGUAAAAAGACUGUGGAUAGAAGAUGGAGCCUAGAGAUUGGAGUGGUAAAGACAUCUUAAUGUACAAACAGUCAGAUGCCCCCUAACUUAAAGGCUAAAAAGCUCACUUUCUGUAGCAUACUCAGCUUCUUUUAUUCCUUGCAAAUGUUACCACAUUGACUAACAAUGUAUAUUUACAACAAAUUUACAAGUUAUAGGCUCUAAAAUUUGUGAAAACCCACCUCAAACAAUCCCCAAACACCAUAGCUUUAAACAUUUCUACAGUACCUUUCAUUGUGCUACCUUAGAAUGCUCUACAAGCAAUGACUCAUCCAGCCUUACCAACCCCCAUUUUACAUAUGGACAACUGAGGCAGAGGGCAUGGCAAGAAUGUAGGAUUUUGGGGACAAGGACUCUUGGCAUUACAUAUGUAUGUAUUACCUAGCAAAAUGGAGUCCUGAUCCAUGAAGCACUACUGUAAUACUGAUUAUUAGAAAGACAAGGUAGGGAAGAUUAUAUCUUUUAUUGGACCAAUUUACACUUCAGAGAAGUAGAUUGCAUCAUGGUAACUGCCACUCAAAUACCUGAAGUGAACCUGGCUCAAUACAGAAAAAAAAAUCACUGACUGCACUUAUCUACUUGCCACCUAUCACACUACACUGUAACCCACACAGGUGUCAUCAAAUAACUAUAACUCAUAUUUGAUGGGGACGACUUCCUGAAAGAAAUUUUUCCUGAAUCCCUCUUCUAGCUUUCAAACAACUCCCUAAUGUUGCCAAUAUCAUCCCCCCCAGACGCCAAGGGCCUGUGCUUGCUUUCUUUCUCUCUCUCUUCCCCCUCCCUACCAAG
Molecule: long non-coding RNA, 1046 nt
Organism: Pelodiscus sinensis (Chinese soft-shelled turtle)
Lineage: Eukaryota; Metazoa; Chordata; Testudines; Trionychidae
Source: RefSeq, a predicted model, not a curated record